UAACACAUGCAAGUCGAACGGUAACAUUUCUAGCUUGCUAGAAGAUGACGAGUGGCGGACGGGUGAGUAAUGCUUGGGAACUUGCCUUUGCGAGGGGGAUAACAGUUGGAAACGACUGCUAAUACCGCAUAAUGUCUUCGGACCAAACGGGGCUUCGGCUCCGGCGCAAAGAGAGGCCCAAGUGAGAUUAGCUAGUUGGUAAGGUAACGGCUUACCAAGGCGACGAUCUCUAGCUGUUCUGAGAGGAAGAUCAGCCACACUGGGACUGAGACACGGCCCAGACUCCUACGGGAGGCAGCAGUGGGGAAUAUUGCACAAUGGGGGAAACCCUGAUGCAGCCAUGCCGCGUGUGUGAAGAAGGCCUUCGGGUUGUAAAGCACUUUCAGUUGUGAGGAAAAGUUAGUAGUUAAUACCUGCUAGCCGUGACGUUAACAACAGAAGAAGCACCGGCUAACUCCGUGCCAGCAGCCGCGGUAAUACGGAGGGUGCGAGCGUUAAUCGGAAUUACUGGGCGUAAAGCGCACGCAGGCGGUUUGUUAAGCUAGAUGUGAAAGCCCCGGGCUCAACCUGGGAUGGUCAUUUAGAACUGGCAGACUAGAGUCUUGGAGAGGGGAGUGGAAUUCCAGGUGUAGCGGUGAAAUGCGUAGAUAUCUGGAGGAACAUCAGUGGCGAAGGCGACUCCCUGGCCAAAGACUGACGCUCAUGUGCGAAAGUGUGGGUAGCGAACAGGAUUAGAUACCCUGGUAGUCCACACCGUAAACGCUGUCUACUAGCUGUGUGUGCCUUUAAGGCGUGCGUAGCGAAGCUAACGCGCUAAGUAGACCGCCUGGGGAGUACGGGCCGCAAGGUUAAAACUCAAAUGAAUUGACGGGGGCCCGCACAAGCGGUGAGCAUGUGGUUUAAUUCGAUGCAACGCGAAGAACCUUACCUACACUUGACAUGCUGAGAAGGUACUAGAGAUAGUUUCGUGCCUUCGGGAACUCAGAACACAGGUGCUGCAUGGCUGUCGUCAGCUCGUGUCGUGAGAAUGUGGGUUAGGUCCGGCAACGAGCGCAACCCUGGUCUUAGGUGGCAGGCUUAGGUGGCACUCUAGAAACUGCGGUGACAACCGGAGAGGUGGGACGACGUCAGUCAUCAUGGCCUACGUGUAAGGCUACCCACGUGCUACAAUGGCAUUACAGGAGGGAAAGCCGAGACAGGUGUAU
RNAcentral lists this ribosomal RNA (1205 nucleotides) under uncultured Gammaproteobacteria bacterium. Its description in RNAcentral is "bacterial SSU rRNA". It matches the Rfam family "Bacterial small subunit ribosomal RNA", at positions 49 to 1267 of the family's 1533-position model. Lineage: Bacteria; Pseudomonadati; Pseudomonadota; Gammaproteobacteria. The record is from RNAcentral.